UACGGAGGAUGCGAGCGUUAUCCGGAUUUAUUGGGUUUAAAGGGUGCUCAGGCGGGCCAUUAAGUCGGCGGUGAAAUUUUGCGGCUCAACCGUAAAAGUGCCUUCGAUACUGGUGGUCUUGAGUGUGGAUGAGGUAGGCGGAAUGUGUAGUGUAGCGGUGAAAUGCAUAGAUAUUACACAGAACACCGAUUGCGAAGGCAGCUUACUAAUCCAUCAUUGACGCUGAGGCACGAAAGCGUGGGGAUCAAACAGGAUUAGA
This 259-nucleotide ribosomal RNA is filed under the name uncultured prokaryote. RNAcentral describes it as "partial 16S ribosomal RNA". It matches the Rfam family "Bacterial small subunit ribosomal RNA", at positions 524 to 782 of the family's 1533-position model. The record is from RNAcentral.